GCUGUCCAGACCACCAGCGCCACCCAGAAACCAACAAACACCCUCUAGUCCAGCGGGUCCUGAAUGUGGCAUGAACACUGGGAACAAUCGGGCGUCCAGCAGACAGCAUGACUCGGUCCUCUCAGGUCCCCAAAGACCGUGUGAAGGAUGAGAAUGUGAGCUUCAUCCAGGACAUCUGCGUUCACCACCUAAACACAAACAAACAAGCAUGUUCAAUUUCAAGAAAUUCCUUCGGCAAUCCUGACACAUCCUUUAGGAUUCCUCUCCAAACGUUCAACCAUCUGCACACACACAGAGCCGUCUAGAGUAAAGUGAAGCUCACGCUGUAUCCAGCUCUGGCGCUCAGGUGCUCUGC
Long non-coding RNA from Onychostoma macrolepis, 355 nucleotides. RefSeq lists it as uncharacterized. The transcript is spliced from 3 exons. The record is from RefSeq and is a predicted model, not a curated record. NCBI's taxonomy places the organism in Eukaryota, Metazoa, Chordata, Actinopteri, Cypriniformes, Cyprinidae.